CCUACGGGUGGCAGCAGUGAGGAAUAUUGGUCAAUGGACGCAAGUCUGAACCAGCCAUGCCGCGUGCAGGAAGACGGCUCUAUGAGUUGUAAACUGCUUUUGUACGAGGGUAAAUUCAGAUACGCGUAUCUUUCUGCAUGUACCCUACGUAUAAGGAUCGGCUAACUCCGUGCCAGCAGCCGCGGUAAUACGGAGGGUUCAAGCGUUAUCCGGAUUUAUUGGGUUUAAAGGGUGCGUAGGCGGUCGGUUAAGUUAGGGGUGAAAGCCCGGGGCUCAACUUCGGAAUUGCCUCUGAUACUGUUAGGCUAGAGGGUAGUAGCGGUAGGCGGAAUGUAUGGUGUAGCGGUGAAAUGCUUAGAGAUCAUGCAGAACACCGAUUGCGAAGGCAGCUUACCAAGCU
This 400-nucleotide ribosomal RNA is filed under the name uncultured bacterium. RNAcentral describes it as "partial 16S ribosomal RNA". It matches the Rfam family "Bacterial small subunit ribosomal RNA", at positions 338 to 735 of the family's 1533-position model. The record is from RNAcentral.